This 244-nucleotide long non-coding RNA is filed under the name Cicer arietinum (chickpea). RNAcentral describes it as "long non-coding RNA (CARI_LNC001697)". Lineage: Eukaryota; Viridiplantae; Streptophyta; Magnoliopsida; Fabales; Fabaceae. The record is from RNAcentral.
UUAAAAUUAUUUUUAAGAGCGGAAAUUAUUUAUUGUCAUAGAUUACACAUACAUAACAUUUCACAUGAAAUUUAUGUGUUUAUCUAUUGAAGUAUUGAAUAUGAUAAAAUCACCAAAAUUAUGGUAGUAUUUAUAUUCAAUCCACAUGAAAGGUUGCAUCAGUGUUAUCUAAUGGUUAUAGUAAAAAUGAUUACAGGCUUAGGUUAAUAAAAAUAAUUAUAGGCUUAAGUUUAGAGAAGACACA